RNAcentral lists this ribosomal RNA (408 nucleotides) under uncultured bacterium. Its description in RNAcentral is "partial 16S ribosomal RNA". It matches the Rfam family "Bacterial small subunit ribosomal RNA", at positions 29 to 526 of the family's 1533-position model. The record is from RNAcentral.
AGUGAACGCUGGCGGCGUGCCUAAUACAUGCAAGUCGAACGGAGUGGCGCACGAGUGAGUAAUGUAUAGCUAAUCUGCCCUACACUAGAGGACAACAGUUGGAACCGACUGCUCAUACUCUAUAGUGUAGGAUGAGGCUCUAUUGUAUCAGCUAGUUGGUGAGGUAAUGGCUCACCAAGGUUAUGACGCAUAACUGGUCUGAGAGGAUGAGCAGGUACACUGUAACGGAGACACGGUACAGACUCCGACGGGAGGAAGCAGUAGGGAAGAUUGCUCAAUGGGGGAAACCCUGAGGCAGCAAGGGCGCGUGGAGGAUGACACUUUGUGGAGCGCAAACUCCGUCUGUGAGGGAAGCGGUACCUAAAGAAUAAGCACCGGCUAACUCCGUGCCAGCAGCCGCGGUAAUUC